RNAcentral lists this ribosomal RNA (433 nucleotides) under uncultured bacterium. RNAcentral describes it as "partial 16S ribosomal RNA". It matches the Rfam family "Bacterial small subunit ribosomal RNA", at positions 29 to 507 of the family's 1533-position model. The record is from RNAcentral.
AACGAACGCUGGCGGCAUGCCUAACACAUGCCAGUCGAACGAGACCUUCGGGUCUAGUGGCGCACGGGUGCGUAACGCGUGGGAACCUGCCCUUAGGUUCGGAAUAACUCCCCGAAAGGGGUGCUAAUACCGGAUAAUGUCUUCGGACCAAAGAUUUAUCGCCUUUGGAUGGGCCCGCGUUGGAUUAGCUAGUUGGUAGGGUAAAAGCCUACCAAGGCGACGAUCCAUAGCUGGUCUGAGAGGAUGAUCAGCCACACUGGGACUGAGACACGGCCCAGACUCCUACGGGAGGGAGCAGUGGGGAAUAUUGGACAAGGGGCGAAAGCCUGAUCCAGCAAUGCCGCGUGAGUGAUGAAGGCCUUAGGGUUGUAAAGCUCUUUUACCCGGGAUGAUAAUGACAGUACCGGGAGAAUAAGCUCCGGCUAACUCCGUG